Molecule: non-coding RNA, 30 nt
Filed under: Mus musculus (house mouse)
Lineage: Eukaryota; Metazoa; Chordata; Mammalia; Rodentia; Muridae
Source: RNAcentral
UUAAAUGUCUUUCUGCCUACAAGUAAGUAU